AUCGAUGGUAGCUCAGUCGGGGGAGCGCCCGCUUCUCACGCAAGAGAUGCGGGUUCGAAUCCCGUCGCUGACA
Molecule: transfer RNA, 73 nt
Filed under: Plutella xylostella (diamondback moth)
Lineage: Eukaryota; Metazoa; Arthropoda; Insecta; Lepidoptera; Plutellidae
Description: tRNA-Glu
Rfam family: tRNA (bases 8-66)
About the family: Transfer RNA (tRNA) molecules are approximately 80 nucleotides in length. Their secondary structure includes four short double-helical elements and three loops (D, anti-codon, and T loops). Further hydrogen bonds mediate the characteristic L-shaped molecular structure. tRNAs have two regions of fundamental functional importance: the anti-codon, which is responsible for specific mRNA codon recognition, and the 3' end, to which the tRNAs corresponding amino acid is attached (by aminoacyl-tRNA synthetases). tRNAs cope with the degeneracy of the genetic code in two manners: having more than one tRNA (with a specific anti-codon) for a particular amino acid; and 'wobble' base-pairing, i.e. permitting non-standard base-pairing at the 3rd anti-codon position.
Source: RNAcentral